Molecule: ribosomal RNA, 468 nt
Filed under: uncultured bacterium
Lineage: Bacteria
Description: partial 16S ribosomal RNA
Rfam family: Bacterial small subunit ribosomal RNA
Source: RNAcentral
GACGAACGCUGGCGGCGUGCUUAACACAUGCAAGUCGAACGGAAAGGCCCUGCUUUUGUGGGGUGCUCGAGUGGCGAACGGGUGAGUAACACGUGAGUAACCUGCCCUUGACUUUGGGAUAACUUCAGGAAACUGGGGCUAAUACCGGAUAGGAGCUCCUGCUGCAUGGUGGGGGUUGGAAAGUUUCGGCGGUUGGGGAUGGACUCGCGGCUUAUCAGCUUGUUGGUGGGGUAGUGGCUUACCAAGGCUUUGACGGGUAGCCGGCCUGAGAGGGUGACCGGCCAAAUUGGGAAUGAGAUAACGGCCCGAAUCCUAAGGGAGGGAGGAGGGGGGAAAUAUGGCCCAUGGGCGGAAGCCCGAUGGCGGAACGCCGGGUGCGGGAUGGAGGCCCUUCGGUUGGAAAACCGUUUCGGCUGUGAAGAAGGGUGAGGGAAGGGAAUUGGUAAAGAAGGAACGGGUAAAUAAGUG